RNAcentral lists this ribosomal RNA (253 nucleotides) under uncultured bacterium. RNAcentral's name for it is "partial 16S ribosomal RNA". It matches the Rfam family "Bacterial small subunit ribosomal RNA", at positions 524 to 776 of the family's 1533-position model. The record is from RNAcentral.
UACGAAGGGGGCUAGCGUUGUUCGGAAUUACUGGGCGUAAAGGGCGCGUAGGCGGUCCUGAUCGUCGGAUGUGAAAGCCCUUGGCUCAACUGAGGAAGUGCAUCCGAAACUGGCAAGCUAGAGUACUAAAGAGGGUCGCGGAAUUCCCGGUGUAGAGGUGAAAUUCGUAGAUAUCGGGAGGAACACCGGUGGCGAAGGCGGCGACCUGGGUAGAUACUGACGCUGAGGUGCGAAAGCGUGGGGAGCAAACAGG